This 254-nucleotide ribosomal RNA is filed under the name uncultured bacterium. Its description in RNAcentral is "partial 16S ribosomal RNA". It matches the Rfam family "Bacterial small subunit ribosomal RNA", at positions 524 to 776 of the family's 1533-position model. The record is from RNAcentral.
UACAGAGGGGGCAAGCGUUGUUCGGAAUUACUGGGCGUAAAGAGCUCGUAGGCGGCUAAGUAAGUCAGGUGUGAAAACUCCAGGCUCAACCUGGAGACGCCACCUGAUACUGCUUUGGCUAGAGUCCGGUAGGGGAGCAUGGAAUUCCUGGUGUAGCGGUGAAAUGUGUAGAGAUCGGGAGGAACACCGGUGGCGAAGGCGGGUCUCUGGGCAAUUCCUGACGCUGAGGCGCGAAAGCGUGGGGAGCAAACGGG